Molecule: non-coding RNA, 355 nt
Organism: Pelodiscus sinensis (Chinese soft-shelled turtle)
Lineage: Eukaryota; Metazoa; Chordata; Testudines; Trionychidae
Source: RefSeq, a predicted model, not a curated record
AACAGAUUCAUUAUUCUUGCGGUGGCAUUUAGAGGUUCCAGCGGAGAGCUAUGCUGUGCCUAAAUGAUAUGUUUGCGGAUGAAUUCCUUAAUUACUUGCUCCAUUAUCUUCCCCGGCACAUAGCUGAGCCCCAGUGUGAUCUUGAAACCAGUGCUGCAGCAGAAAGGUAUCUUGAAUCAACAGAGCAAGUGCAUUAGAGAAAGGAGGUGGAAAUCCAGUUUCCUCCUAAUAGGAGUGAAGCCUGACUAGGAACUUGGGGUUGCAGAGGGAAGAGAGCUCCAAUUUGAUUUGCAAAUACUAAUCUCUGUUGCCAUUUGCAGAAAUAAAGCCCAUAUGCCUACCGAGCAAUUGCUGU